RNAcentral lists this transfer RNA (82 nucleotides) under Rhipicephalus microplus (southern cattle tick). RNAcentral describes it as "tRNA-Ser". It matches the Rfam family "tRNA". Rfam says of the family: Transfer RNA (tRNA) molecules are approximately 80 nucleotides in length. Their secondary structure includes four short double-helical elements and three loops (D, anti-codon, and T loops). The record is from Rfam by way of RNAcentral. Lineage: Eukaryota; Metazoa; Arthropoda; Arachnida; Ixodida; Ixodidae.
GACGAGGUGGCCGAGAGGUUAAGGAGAUUGACUGCUAAUUUAUUGGGCUCGGCCCGCGUGGGUUCGAAUCCCAUCCUCGUCG